Molecule: microRNA precursor, 97 nt
Filed under: Pelobates cultripes (western spadefoot toad)
Lineage: Eukaryota; Metazoa; Chordata; Amphibia; Anura; Pelobatidae
Source: RNAcentral
CGGAAAGGGGAGGGGCAGGUAGUUAAAAAAAUAUAUAUGUAUAUGUAUAUAUAUUUUUUUUUAACUACCUGCCCCUCCCCUUUCCGUUUUAUCCACU